CUCCUACGGGUGGCUGCAGCUAGGAAUCUUGGGAAUGGGCGAAAGCCUGACCCAGCAACGCCGCGUGGGCGAUGAAGGCCUUCGGGUCGUAAAGCCCUUUUGAGGGGGACGAUGAUGACGGUACCCCUCGAAUAAGCCACGGCUAACUACGUGCCAGCAGCCGCGGUAAUACGUAGGUGGCAAGCGUUGUCCGGAUUUACUGGGCGUAAAGGGCGUGCAGGCGGUUUGUUUAGCCUAGGGUGAAAGCUCCCGGCUUAACUGGGAGAGGUCCUUGGAUACUGGCAAACUUGAGGGAGGCAGAGGAAAGUGGAAUUCCCGGUGUAGUGGUGAUAUGCGUAGAUAUCGGGAGGAACACCAGUGGCGAAGGCGGCUUUCUGGGCCUUACCUGACGCUGAGACGCGAAAGCGUGGGGAGCGAACCGGAUUAGAUACCCGGGUAGUCCACGCCGUAAACUAUGGACACUAGGUGUGGGGGGUAUCGACCCCCUCCGUGCCGCAGCUAACGCAAUAAGUGUCCCGCCUGGGGAGUACGGCCGCAAGGCUA
This 543-nucleotide ribosomal RNA is filed under the name uncultured bacterium. Its description in RNAcentral is "bacterial SSU rRNA". It matches the Rfam family "Bacterial small subunit ribosomal RNA", at positions 336 to 896 of the family's 1533-position model. The record is from RNAcentral.